Molecule: ribosomal RNA, 478 nt
Filed under: uncultured bacterium
Lineage: Bacteria
Description: partial 16S ribosomal RNA
Rfam family: Bacterial small subunit ribosomal RNA
Source: RNAcentral
GACGAACGCUGGCGGCGUGCUUAACACAUGCAAGUCGAACGGUAAGGCCCUUCGGGGUACACGAGUGGCGAACGGGUGAGUAACACGUGGGUGAUCUGCCCUGCACUUCGGGAUAAGCCUGGGAAACUGGGUCUAAUACCGGAUACGACCACUGCCUGCAUGGGUGGUGGUGGAGAGCUUUUGCGGUGUGGGAUGGGCCCGCGGCCUAUCAGCUUGUUGGUGGGGUGAUGGCCUACCAAGGCGACGACGGGUAGCCGGCCUGAGAGGGUGACCGGCCACACUGGGACUGAGAUACGGCCCAGACUCCUACGGGAGGCAGCAGUGGGGAAUAUUGCACAAUGGGCGCAAGCCUGAUGCAGCGACGCCGCGUGAGGGAUGACGGCCUUCGGGUUGUAAACCUCUUUCAGCACCGACGAAGCGCAAGUGACGGUAGGUGCAGAAGAAGGACCGGCCAACUACGUGCCAGCAGCCGCCGUAC